UGGGCCGUCUGUGGACCAGACACCCAGACUGACGGCACACCGACGGCCAUCGGAGACGGAGCUGGCGACCGGUUCCGGCGAGCCGCAGGCGACGAAGAGGGGACGCGGCAACCUGUUCUAGCGAGGCGGGUGCGGGGAAGAUUCGGAAGCAGCGAUGUCGAAGCGGCUGCUGUCGCGGCUGCUCGGCAUGUUCCAAUCGCGGACGCAGGUGGGCGUCGACAAGGCCGGCAACCGCUACUUCACCCGCGUCGAGGAGGUCGACGGCGCCAUGAAGGAGAGGCGGUGGGUGGAGUUCAAGGGCGCCGACCAGGACUCGACCACCGUUCCAGGCAUGUAUGGAUUGUGGCUUUGAUUCUAGAUUAUAUGCUUGGAUUUGUUGAUUGCAUACACAACAUCUCAUAGUUAUGUCGUGCUUGUAGUCGAGUGGAUUUGCUGGCUGAAUGGCCAAAGGAAGAAAGCUCCAACACCAGAGGAAUUGGCUGAGCUGGAGGCAAGGCGUGAACGUGUCAAGCAAAACAUUGCACUUCUCAAAAAGAAAGAAGAAGAGGAAAGAAAAACCGGUAUGCGACCAGUCAAGAAAAUUGGGAAAGCUGAAUCUCCAAAUCUCCAAAGUUUUGUGAAGCAGCAGUUCUCAGGUACUCCUCCAGAUCAGCAGAAAGGACCUGAGGAGGUAUCUAGGCCUAAGGACGCAACUCAUACAGAAGAUGCUACGACAGACAAUGACAGGUCAUCUGAACCAACAGGAACUGGCGCCACUUUCAAGCCAGGGACUUGGCAGCCACCAACAUGAAUGCCAACCUGAACUCUAGAAGAUAAAGGGUGGUGUAACAGAGCAUUUUCCUUUCACCAAUUUGUGUAACAUUUUAACAUUUGCUCCGAAAGAAUCAAUAGCAUGAGUUCCUUUUUUUUCAGCUGGUUACUCCAUCUGAUGGAGUUUUAGGUGAUCAGGGCUCCACGUUAUCCCUGGAAUCGUCUUCAAAAAAAAAUGUUAUCCCUGGAUUUUGGCCAAAUUGCCCUCUGUAAUCUUUUUAUGGACUUGUGGUAGCAACUAUAAUUAACUUGAGAGAUGUUCUGAAUCAAGGCUCUGUCAGGGACAUUGUUCAACAUAUUUCGGUAUGUCCGAUGCAAAAUAUUUCCCUAAAUGAAUUCAAAGUCUAUAUUACGUCCUA
This is an RNA transcript of Sorghum bicolor (sorghum), 1169 nucleotides long. It is a transcript of the gene named mimitin, mitochondrial, with no coding region annotated. The transcript has 8 exons. NCBI's taxonomy places the organism in Eukaryota, Viridiplantae, Streptophyta, Magnoliopsida, Poales, Poaceae. The record is from RefSeq and is a predicted model, not a curated record.